RNAcentral lists this small nucleolar RNA (133 nucleotides) under Pelodiscus sinensis (Chinese soft-shelled turtle). RNAcentral's name for it is "Small nucleolar RNA SNORA42/SNORA80 family (ENSPSIG00000020019.1)". Lineage: Eukaryota; Metazoa; Chordata; Testudines; Trionychidae. The record is from RNAcentral.
GCAUGGUCGUGGAUUUAUGGAGGAGCCCUGCCAUGGCUCCUCCCCAGUGUGCCCCAUGCAAGAGCAGUCAUCCCCCCUGAACCAUGGCCUCCCCUAAUGUCAGAGUGAGGUCCCUGAAAUGGGGAGUACAGCU